UUACAUAAGAACAAGAGUUAGCAGUUGUCGAUGUGCUGUGGGCUAACAGUGCAAUUAAACAUUUUGAAAUCAGAGUUCUGCUCCAUGACACCAACUUUCAGAAUAUCAUGUCUUUCAGUCUCUACCAUAAAUAGGGUGCUGAAGACACAUGCUAUAUCAGGGAAAUAGCUCUACACUGUUUCAUUUUCCAGAAAUAAUGAGGGGAUGAAGUAGAAAACAUUCUUGUAUGUGUGGAGUGAUGGAGCUGGAGACAACUGACACCACAUACACAUUUGUGCAUGGGGAUGAAGAUGAAUUCAUCCUGUACAAAAUCAGGUGACGUGGCAGAAACAAUAUUAGGCCCUCAAGCCAUGGUGGAUAUACCUGUGCUGUGUAAUGGUAUCAAACCAUGUGUGCUGCCAUACCAAAAGAUGGCGUAAUCCACCACAUUCCCACCAUUAGACCCUACAACGCAGUUCAUCUUCUUGAUUUAUUGAGGGCUUUUAUAAUGAUCUCAUUCUUGAGAAUGAGAGUGGAGUGUUGAGCCCUAAAAUGUCGCAAUAUGUAUUUAUUUAGGACAAUGCCGGUUUUCAUCACUCCAGUCACGUCAGGGAAUGGUCUGUCAAUGAAGUUCUUAUAACCCUGUUCAUCAUUCCUCAACCUAACUGAGAAAUUCUUCUAAGCAUGGAUGUGGAAUGCAUAUGACCACUAGCUCCAAGAGCACAUACUGUAUCUCUGUUAGAGGCAAUGGAUGCAUGCUUGUGAAGACAUCAGUUUGGAGGCAUGCUAGGGUGAGAAUGUUCUUCCCCCUCUGCCUUAAAAGUAUCUUCAUGUGGCACUCAGUGCCAAUGCUCUACUGCCAAGUUGUUUUCCUGCCUGUCAUCUCAGAUAAAGGAGCAAUGG
Erpetoichthys calabaricus (reedfish) is the source of this 882-nucleotide long non-coding RNA. RefSeq lists it as uncharacterized. NCBI's taxonomy places the organism in Eukaryota, Metazoa, Chordata, Cladistia, Polypteriformes, Polypteridae. The transcript is spliced from 3 exons. The record is from RefSeq and is a predicted model, not a curated record.